RNAcentral lists this small RNA (824 nucleotides) under Pongo abelii (Sumatran orangutan). RNAcentral describes it as "retained intron". Lineage: Eukaryota; Metazoa; Chordata; Mammalia; Primates; Hominidae. The record is from RNAcentral.
UAGUAUGACCCACAUGCCUUUGCAAAGCCAUUCUGUCAGGCCAGGAGGCUGAGGCCCAGGGAGGGCACUUGGGGCCAGAAUCUCUCAGUAGAGGCAACAGAGCCAGGAUUGGCAUUCAUAACCCAGGCCCCUGAAUCAUCCUGCCUUUCUCUUCUGGGAUGUUGACAGAGGCUGGUGUUCAGGCCUGUGCCCCCUGGUGGCACUUACUCCUCAUUUUCCUUUCUCAUUUCUCUCCCCAUCCUUUGCAAACUUAGCUGCUCAUUGUGGGUUCCCUCUCCAAGCUUUAACAUUUAGUCCCUUCCUCCAAUGCCUUCGUUCCUUUGGACCCUUGGCUCUCUAUUCCCUAACCCCUCCUUCCACUAGCCCCUCGUCCCUGCCCCCUCUGGAUUGGAGCAGACAGCUCUCCUACCUUCCAGGCAAGGAUCAAAAGACCCAGCUGAGGGCGAUGGGGCCCAGCCUGAGGAAACACCUGGGGAUGGCGACAAGCCAGAGGAGACUCAGGGGAAGGCAGAGAAAGAUGAGCCAGGAGCCUGGGAGGAGACAUUCAAAACUCACUCUGACAGCAAGCCAUAUGGCCCCAUGUCUGUGGGUUUGGACUUCUCUCUGCCAGGCAUGGAGCAUGUCUAUGGGAUCCCUGAGCAUGCAGACAAUCUGAGGCUGAAGGUCACUGAGGGUGGGGAGCCAUAUCGCCUCUACAAUUUGGAUGUGUUCCAGUAUGAGCUGUACAAUCCCAUGGCCUUGUAUGGGUCUGUGCCUGUGCUCCUGGCACACAACCCUCAUCGCGACUUGGGCAUCUUCUGGCUCAAUGCUGCAGAGACCUGGGU